Dermochelys coriacea (leatherback sea turtle) is the source of this 809-nucleotide long non-coding RNA. RefSeq lists it as uncharacterized. The transcript has 4 exons. Lineage: Eukaryota; Metazoa; Chordata; Testudines; Dermochelyidae. The record is from RefSeq and is a predicted model, not a curated record.
CCCCCCCAGGGAGCCGCCCCGCUUCCGCCGCUGGUCAUGGGUGGGGGAAGAUCUAAGUGGCUCACGCGCAGAGCCUAGCCGGGCCCGGCCCCCUGGGCGAUGGGCAGGGCUGGCUGCCUUGCAGAGUUCUCGGCCCUGCGUGGCUUGGGAGAGGAGCCUUGCACGGUGGCAAUGGUGGAUAUUCCUCCCGUGUCAGUCCCGGGGCUCCCACUGCCGCCUUUUGCUGCGGGUAGGCAUGGCAUGCAGACUCUUCCUUGGGGCAGGAAGUUCUCCCGGGAGAGCUGGCUCAAUCAUUGGAGUCUGAAACAGCCGGGCUUUCCUAACGACUCCUUUGCCUUCCAGCAGGGGCAACUGACCCCUUCCUCCACUCGUGAGAGAGAGAGAGGUCUGCUAUGAUGUUUUGUUUGUAUCUUUCAGGUCCAGAUCCUGUACUACUGUGGGCUGGCAAUCAAUGCAGCAGGGAUCAAUUUAGUGGGUCUACUGAAGACCUACUAAAAUGAUGGCAGAGCACUCUCCAGUCGACCCUGCUAUUCCAGCUAUCCAAGAAGAGUAAGGGAAGUUGACCGGAGAGCAGCUCCUGGCGACACAGUGCAGUAAAGACACCAGGGUACAUCUAAAUGCCUUAUGCUAAGGAGAGUGCUGAAGAGAGGUGAAGCCAGGGGACAGGUAUGCACUGCUUCCACAGAGGCUGCAGAUCGGUACAUUGCAGAGUAAUGAGACACACUGAAUCCAUCAUCUAGGAGGAAAACUGACAGCAUCCAUGUCUCAUGAAAGAAAGAUCACAGCCCGUCUGGCUGUAAAGCACUGCA